This 808-nucleotide ribosomal RNA is filed under the name Sanguibacter sp. Its description in RNAcentral is "bacterial SSU rRNA". It matches the Rfam family "Bacterial small subunit ribosomal RNA", at positions 65 to 882 of the family's 1533-position model. The record is from RNAcentral. Lineage: Bacteria; Bacillati; Actinomycetota; Actinomycetes; Micrococcales; Sanguibacteraceae.
GACGGUGACAUCAGAGCUUGCUCUGGUUGAUCAGUGGCGAACGGGUGAGUAACACGUGAGUAACCUGCCCUUGACUCUGGGAUAACUCCGGGAAACCGGGGCUAAUACCGGAUACGAGACGCGACCGCAUGGUCGGCGUCUGGAAAGUUUUUCGGUCAAGGAUGGACUCGCGGCCUAUCAGCUUGUUGGUGAGGUAAUGGCUCACCAAGGCGUCGACGGGUAGCCGGCCUGAGAGGGCGACCGGCCACACUGGGACUGAGACACGGCCCAGACUCCUACGGGAGGCAGCAGUGGGGAAUAUUGCACAAUGGGCGAAAGCCUGAUGCAGCGACGCCGCGUGAGGGAUGAAGGCCUUCGGGUUGUAAACCUCUUUCAGUAGGGAAGAAGCGAAAGUGACGGUACCUGCAGAAGAAGCGCCGGCUAACUACGUGCCAGCAGCCGCGGUAAUACGUAGGGCGCAAGCGUUGUCCGGAAUUAUUGGGCGUAAAGAGCUCGUAGGCGGUUUGUCGCGUCUGGUGUGAAAACUCAAGGCUCAACCUUGAGCUUGCAUCGGGUACGGGCAGACUAGAGUGUGGUAGGGGUGACUGGAAUUCCUGGUGUAGCGGUGGAAUGCGCAGAUAUCAGGAGGAACACCGAUGGCGAAGGCAGGUCACUGGGCCACUACUGACGCUGAGGAGCGAAAGCAUGGGGAGCGAACAGGAUUAGAUACCCUGGUAGUCCAUGCCGUAAACGUUGGGCACUAGGUGUGGGGCUCAUUCCACGAGUUCCGCGCCGCAGCUAACGCAUUAAGUGCCCCGCCUGGGGAGUA